AUUGAACGCUGGCGGCGUGCCUAACACAUGCAAGUCGAGCGGUAACAGGUGUAGCAAUACAUGCUGACGAGCGGCGAACGGGUGAGUAAUGCUUCGGAAUCUACCCAAUGGUGGGGAAUAACCAGCCGAAAGGUUGGCUAAUACCGCAUACGUCCCACGGGAGAAAGCAGGGGAUCGCAAGACCUUGCGCCAAUGGAUGAGCCGAAGUCGGAUUAGCUAGUUGGAGGGUAACGGCCUACCAAGGCGACGAUCCGUAGCUGGUCUGAGAGGACGACCAGCCACACUGGGACUGAGACACGGCCCAGACUCCUACGGGAGCAGCAGUGGGGAAUAUUGGACAAUGGGGGAAACCCUGAUCCAGCGACGCCGCGUGUGUGAAGAAGGCCUGC
Molecule: ribosomal RNA, 389 nt
Filed under: uncultured bacterium
Lineage: Bacteria
Description: bacterial SSU rRNA
Rfam family: Bacterial small subunit ribosomal RNA
Source: RNAcentral